UACGUAGGGUGCGAGCGUUGUCCGGAAUUACUGGGCGUAAAGAGCUCGUAGGUGGUUUGUCGCGUUGUCCGUGAAAACUCACAGCUUAACUGUGGGCGUGCGGGCGAUACGGGCAGACUGGAGUACUGCAGGGGAGACUGGAAUUCCUGGUGUAGCGGUGGAAUGCGCAGAUAUCAGGAGGAACACCGGUGGCGAAGGCGGGUCUCUGGGCAGUAACUGACGCUGAGGAGCGAAAGCGUGGGCAGCAAACAGG
Molecule: ribosomal RNA, 253 nt
Filed under: uncultured bacterium
Lineage: Bacteria
Description: partial 16S ribosomal RNA
Rfam family: Bacterial small subunit ribosomal RNA
Source: RNAcentral